AUAUCUCUCUGUACGGGAAGGAUGAGAAGCUUCGACUAAGGUUCGAUUCGAGCGAAAGCGAGAAAGCGUUGCCAACGGCAACGACCCGAAGGGCGAAGCGCG
This 102-nucleotide small RNA is filed under the name Salmonella enterica. Its description in RNAcentral is "partial RtT sRNA". It matches the Rfam family "RtT RNA", at positions 1 to 100 of the family's 130-position model. From Rfam's summary of the family: This family represents a bacterial cis-regulatory element known as RtT RNA. The exact function of RtT is unknown although it is thought that it may be involved in changing the cellular response in relation to amino acid starvation. The record is from RNAcentral. Lineage: Bacteria; Pseudomonadati; Pseudomonadota; Gammaproteobacteria; Enterobacterales; Enterobacteriaceae.